This 1494-nucleotide long non-coding RNA is filed under the name Nicotiana benthamiana. RNAcentral describes it as "long non-coding RNA (NBEN_LNC010401)". Lineage: Eukaryota; Viridiplantae; Streptophyta; Magnoliopsida; Solanales; Solanaceae. The record is from RNAcentral.
AUACUCUCAUGUCGCAUCUCGGCAAAUAGACUCAAUAACCCUUCCCAUUCAUGUCCACCUCGAGCACAAGAGCUAAUAACUGUGUUAUAAGUCAAACAACAACAACAACAACCCAGUAUAAUCCCACUUAGUGAGGUCUGGGAAGGGUAGUGUGUACNNNNNNNNNNNNNNNNNNNNNNNNNNNNNNNNNNNNNNNNNNNNNNNNNNNNUGAGGUCUGGGAAGGGUAGUGUGUACGCAGACCUUACCCCUACCCUUGGGUAGAGAGGCUGUUUCCAAAUAGACCCCAGCAUCCUUCCCUCCAAGAACUUACCACCUUGCUCUUGGGGAGAUUCGAACUCACGACCUCUCGGUUGGAAGUGGGGGUUGCUUAUGUCUGUGUUAUAAGUCAAAAUACUAGGAAUUAUCUUUUCUUGCUUCAUUUUAUCAAGUAGUUGAAGAGAAGUUUCGUAUUGUCCAUUACGGCCAUAAGCAUUAAUAAUAGCAGUGUAAGAGAAUACUGUUCGUGCCACACUAUGACUUGGCAUUUCGUCGAAUAUCUCGAAGGCUUGUCAAGAAGGCCUUCACGGCCUAAUAUUCCAAUCAUGAGAGUGUAAAUGUGCUCAUUGGGCUUGCACCAUAUUUGGCGCUGCAUGUACUCAAAGAGUCGCAGGGACCGCUGCCAAUCGCCACGCGCCGCGAAUUCCUUGAACACGUGGGAGAAGUCAGUGAGAGAGCUUGUUUUUGAAAGUAUCCAAGCACCGGGCGAUGCUUCCACGUGGUGGGAGGCUCGAGAGCUUGUUUAUUAGUGUUUCGACAUCGUAACUGUACUUGCCUUUCUCAACGGUGACCGUUGGGUUGCCUAAGAUGAGCUCUUUUGGCUUGGCUCUAAUGGCGACUGUUAGAAGAAGACGGCGGUGGACGGGGGAGAGCUUUCCGUAGUUUGGGAUUUUGGCAGGGAAUAGGAAACGAUGAGAGGGAGGGACUGGGGUGAGGACUGGGGAGAAUGAGUUGUACGAUAGGGACAUUUUGGUCAAUCUAACAUGUGUCGCUGUCUAAUAAUCAGGAAGUCAACCGACACCGGAAGAUGGAGAGCGAGCGGUGAAGUGGCGGAGCACGGUGGAGCUGAGCUCGGAGUAUGGCGGAGAAGGAGCUAAGGUUUAAGCUGGGGUUUCAAGGAGGAGAAGAAGUAGUUGAACGACACGUGGAUAAUGGUGGCUGUGGAUAAUAAUGGUGUAAAAUAACUGAAAAUUUAUUAUUUUCCUUUCAGCCCCCUGUGCAUUUUGUACUUUUCAAUAUUUUGGGUUCUUUUUCCUUUUGCUCUACUUUGUGUUGCCACAUUAAUAAUCCUCGUCUCAUGACAUUUCAAUGUAAGUAGUAGAACUUAGAAAUUGUUAUUACUCUACUUUUCAGAUUAUCCUUUUCAAGCUUAUUGUAUGAUUUACUUGUUGCAAGUCGAUAUGUACACCGGUCCCUUCAAACCUGUCGGAAUUUUAUUGCCUUGAUUAAUAUCCUAG